Long non-coding RNA from Biomphalaria glabrata, 3020 nucleotides. RefSeq lists it as uncharacterized. The record is from RefSeq and is a predicted model, not a curated record. The transcript has 8 exons. Lineage: Eukaryota; Metazoa; Mollusca; Gastropoda; Planorbidae.
GAGUAGUCUUAGUCUUAAUAUUUAGAUCUACUAUAAUUUAGAGUUAGACUAAUACUAGACUAGAUGUAGUAGUAGUCUAAGUAGUACUAUUAAUUACUAAACUAAUAGUAAUUGCUAAUAGUAUAGUACUACUAGGUAGUAGUAGUACUAUAACUAGUAGGCAUAACUAUAAUAAAUAUAUAGUAAUAGAUGAUUAAUUUAGAUCUAGUACUAGUACUAAUAGUAAUACUGUACUAUACUAUUAGUUACUAGAUCUAGACUGUACUAUGUCUGUAAUAUAGUAAAAUACUAAAAUUAGUAAAAUAAUAGAUCUAGUAAUUAAUAAGUAAUACUAACUUAUACUACUUAUAGUUGAGUUUGUAUAGACUAUAGUAAUAGUCUAGUUAUAAAUCUAUUAAUAGUAAAUAUUUAGGCCUAUACCCUUUAGAAUAUAGUAAUAUUAUUAAUAUUAUAGAUCUAUUAUGCUGAUUGCCUCCGAUACUAUUUAACUAUUAAGUAUUAAGUGAUAAGUCUAUAAUUAGUAUUAUCAUUUAUGAUUUUUAUUUGUGAUAUACUAUAGAUGUUACAUGUACAUCAGCUAUGUACUAUAAUGUACACUACUUAAAUUAUAACCAUAUACUUGAAAAAGUCAUAUAGAUUAGAUUAGAUCUAAAUCUAAGACACACUAAGACUUAGACUUACUUAGACUUAGGUCCUCCCGCGCCGUUCGGCGUAUUGGGCAGCAAGCUGUCUCCAUAAAGAUCUGUCGUUGGCAAUGUCUUAAGCCUCUUCCCACCUGGUGUCCACUGUUCUAAGGUCUUCUAUGAAGGUGUGGCGCCAAGUAAUAUGAGGACGUCCCUGUUUGCGCUUUCCUCGUAUUGGCCUCCAUGUCAUCGCCUUAUAUCCCACUCGCUAAAUUUUGGUCCUAUCUAAGUUUAUGCGGAGGCCAAUUUUGGGUGUUUCUCUAUCUAGACUCUCUGUCAUUUCUUGUAUGCCUUUAUUUGUAGCCCAGAGUAGUGCAAUGUCAUCAGCAAAGUCCAAGUCCAUUAUUCGAUUUUGUUCACGCCAUGGAAUACCAAAGGCAGUCUGGUUCAUUGCUCUCCUCAUUAUGUAGUCAAUGGCUAGGAGGAAAAGGAAGGGAGAUAAGAUGCACCCCUGUCUCACACCUGUCUCGAUGCUGAAAAACUCGGUUGUUCCUUCUUCUGUUUUAAUGCAGUAACUAGACUGACUGUAUAGGUGUCGUAGGAUCUAGACAAAUUUUUCUGGGAUGCCAUAUUCUCUAACUAUUUUCCAUAGUGAUUCUUUGAAGGGUGAAAAAUCUCUAGCUUUCAUUCCCCUCUAAAGAAGCUGAUUGUCUGUAUGCUUGAACUUUCAAGUAAAGAGUAGGCUAAAAAGCAUCCUGAAUCAAGAAUACUUUCAUCAUAUUAAAGACUGUUGGUAAAGAUGUUCUACUAGAAAUUAAUCACAACCUUAAAUAAUCUGUCAGCAAGUAGAUUGCUAAUGAGGUACCAAUAGAUGCACAUCAUAUCAGAUGUCACUUGUGGACCAGUUCCUGGAUCAUAUGAUAAUGCUAGAGCUGAAUAUGACAUCUGUUCCACCCCUGAAGUCUAGCACUUUAUCACUAGGAAAUCAUGCCCCCCUGACAAUUCAUUAGCUUAAGUGUCAAAGAAAACAGUCCAUGCUUUAGCCACAUUAGAGCAUCUUUUUGAUAGGCAAUGGUGCACUGGAAAGAUUUGUGCAGACUCAUCUUGUGGGUCAGCUCAUGAACAGAAUGAUACACACAAAAUGUCAGGAGGCAGGAUUGGUGAAGUGGGAAAUUCUCCAACCUGACUUUAUAAUUACUGAUGCAUUAAUCUUCUAUAAGUCCAGAAGUUUCCAGUCCAAGACAUUCUUAUUUGGAAGUGAAACAGAUUAAGAAACAAGAAAGUAAAGAGUGCGCUCCAGAACUCUACAUGUCACUGUGACAUUACCAUUAAGGUGAAGUUAUUGAUACAUUAUUCAACUUUCGUAGAAUGUCUUGUUUUGUUUGUGAAUUGUUUUAUCAUGACGUCAACAAAUGUUUUAGUUUUAUGUCGUGUACCGUCUUCGUAUUGCGCGCCUUUUAUAUUUUUAAAAUUUGUUUUGUUAUAAUUUUUAAAAGUUUUUUAUCCUUUCGGUGCUGUUUUUGGAUUUUUAUUUUUUGAAUUUGUUUUCUUAUAAUUUUUUGAAGUUUUUUAUCCUUUCAGUGCAGUUUUUGUUUAAAUCCUUUGGAGAAUAUGUCUAAUUCUUUGAGGUUUUUUCUUUUUCAGAAGUUUCCAGUCCAAGACAUUCUUAUUUGAAAGUGAAACGGGGAGAUCUUUUUGUUAUUUCCCUUUUUUUGUUUUAGAAAUGAUAUAUUUAAAUAUUUGUAGAUACUAGGUAGCCACAAAGUCAACAUUCCCUUUCAGACCUUGCAAUCUAUAGGGUAGAGAAUGUUCAAGUCAUCAGUUUCUGUGGCCCAUGGUUAAUGAGGGUGUCAUGUGGCCAGCACAACGAUCAAUUGCCUUUACUUUUGCCCAACUAAAGUAAGGUACCUAUUAGAGCUGGGUGGACUCAGAAGCGCCCAAAGAUCCUUAAAUUGAAAAUCCCAAUCUUCACAAAGAUUUGAACUCUAGACCUACAGUUCAGAAGUCAAGUGCUUAACGGCUCAGUCACUGCGUCUCCUAGUUAGCCCCAUGAAUUCUUAUAAAUAAUUUUGAAAUAAAGUUAUUCUCUCUUGGCAGAUCAACAUCUUUGUAUCAUUUUCAACACAAUGACCAUUCUUUUCUGUUUCAGAUUAAGAAACAAGAAAGUAAAGAGGGCGCUCCAGAACUCUACAUGUCACUGUGACAUUACCAUUAAGAAGUUUCCAGUCCAAGACAUUCUUAUUUGGAAGUGAAACAGGCCAUAAUGACAAGAUAAGAGAAAAUUUAUGGAUAGUGAAAUUCAUCAAUCAAUGGAACUUUAAUUUCCUGGAUAUUUGACAUGUUGCUUAUAAAUGUAUCAGUAUUAUUGUCUAAAGAUAUUAAAUUGAUAACAACCAA